This is a long non-coding RNA of Salmo trutta (river trout), 7696 nucleotides long. Ensembl lists it as uncharacterized. The record is from Ensembl. Lineage: Eukaryota; Metazoa; Chordata; Actinopteri; Salmoniformes; Salmonidae.
CGGACAUGUUGGAGUUGUGUCUGUUAGGAACACAUGUGGGAAAGAGAGAGAGCGAGAGAGAGAGGGACUGAAGGAAAGCAGCUGAGGAAAGCGUUCAAUGCAAAGCGGUCUCGAGGAGAAGAGGAUGAAGGGAAGAAAACACGGAGGAAGAGAAUAGAACAGCGAUGUCUGAGGCGGACAGUCACUCUGGAAGUAUAUCUCUGAUCCAGUCCAUGCUGCGCAGACUGAGCACUGCAGAAGACACGGAUCAACCUCCUAACAUACACCCUAAUACGCACCGUAACACACACCCUAACACACCCCAACACCCCAGAACCUCAGUGGAAACAGACAGGAGAUUCUAUGUGACCCCUCAGGACCACAAUAACGCAGAGCUCAUAUUCAAAGGGAAGCUUGUUUCAGUGAUUGAGGAUGAUGAGGAUGAUAAUGGUGAUCAUGAUGAUAAUGAUCCACAAUUGGAAGUUCUGACUGAGAGGGACAGCGAUCUGGAAUCAUCAGACAGGGAUUCAGAGGAGAGAGAAGAGGGGAACUCUGGCAUUCUAUUUUUGGAUGCAGGAUCGACAAAACUGGUCGACGAGGAGGAAGAGGAAACCAGCGAACCCCCUGCUGUGAUUCCCAGAUGGGAGAGAAGGCAGUUGCUACCCUGUCCCCCUGGCCCGGACGCCAGACCCCCGCCUCCCCCCGUUCCCCCCAAGAGGAGGGCUAAACCACCGCUACACCCUACAGGGCCACCGCCGCCGCCCCCUCCACCAGCCCUCGACCCUAGCCAGAGUGCCCCUGUGUGGGGGAGAGUGGUAGGCGAGGGCCCAGGCUGUGAGCUGAGGCCUACAGGGCAUGGGAGAGGGCCUGGAGGCCAGGAGGAGGAUAUGCUGUCAUCCUCAGGGGAUAGGCUGUCUAUGUACUCAGCUGUCAUCCUCAAGUCAGAACGCCGAUUCUCACAGCCCAUUCUGGAUCCUACUCUGGACUCUACAGCACAGAGGGGUGGGGGCGUGCAGCAGUUGGAGACGACUGUGUCCGUGGCAGCACAGGACCCUUCCCAGCUGAGGGGGAAGGAUAUAGGGCGCCCCCCUAAAGCCUCUGAGCCGGUGGGGAUGGGGGUAAUGGGGGUACCCAAACCGUUGGAAUCGAUUGCACCCAAGCCGCUUAUACCCAAACCUCCACACAGAAACAGAUCUCUGCCCCAGGAACCUGAGAGGAGAGCCCAGGACAGCCCAGAUGGAAGUGCCUCUUCUGGGUCUGAAACGAGAGACAUCCCCCCUGACCUCCAGUCUAUACCUCCAGAGACAGAGGGAGUCAGAGAACCACCAGAGCCUAGCGAACACAUCCCAGAUGGGAGCGAGAGCUCCAGAACCCCUGCCGAGUUUCGGUGUAACACGGAGCAGGGAGGUUUGUUGGAAAGGGGGAGGAAUUUAGAAGGCACACAUGAAGUUGUGGUUCAGGACGCUGUAACAUGGGGUGGUGGGGGUGUGCUUGGGCCGAAACACCCGAAUAUUAAGACAAUGAAAGGAGGAAAGGUGAAGAAAUUUGCCAAGAAGAUGAUGAGCAGAUGGAAGCAGAGGCGAGAGGAGAAGAGAGGGAAUGGAGAGAUUCAGGAGGACGACGGAGAAAAAGAGGUAGAGAGCGAAAUGCCAUUGGUGAACCUCCGUCAAGAUCGACAUUCAGUCAGGUUGCAUACUAAAAUGUCCGUCAUAGAGGAAGAGGAGGACGAAGAGGAGAAGAGGAGUAGUGAGGCUGCUCCACCAAUGAUGGAGCCGCCCAGCCAAGCUGAGACGGAGAGGAAGCCUGUGGGACAGCGUGCACGUUUUCAGAGCUCCUUCAGCUCUUUCAAGUUCAACUUCAGUCCCAUCAGCUUGGUGGAUGAGAUUCUAACAGGAGAGGAGUGGUCACCAUUCCUGUCCAUUAAGGACAGUCCCGCCCCCUCGCCGUCCGUUUACCAAUCAGAGGCUGCUAGCCAACACGGUGGUGAUGAAGGCGACCAAUUAAAGACUGAACCAGAGUCGCGCCUCCCCAACGACGUUCAACAUAACCACGAGGACAUAGGCCAUUCUUUAUAUGAGGAUGUUCACUUCAGCCAAACAGGUCCGAAUGAGAUUGUGGACAACCAAUCGGACAACAGACAUCAGGAAGUAGACAACAACAAUGACACUGGAAAUGAUGCCAUUGCUGUCAUCAAACCGAAGAUACUAUUGGACAAUGAUGCAGCGGAGGAGAGUGAGUUGGACCACUCCAGACCCAUAUCUAAGGACAUCCAUGACUGUAAAUCCCCCAUAUGGAACCAAUCAAAGGACCAUCUUGACUUCUCCUGUGUUAAGUCAGUUGGAGUUCUGGACAGUUCUGCUCAGAAACAUAAAAUUCGUCUGAGCAAAAAGAGAAAGCACAGACUUCCGGGGCUAAAGACGAGAAAGACCUUCAAGAUAAGACGCACUGAAAUCAAAGCCCCUGACAUCAAAUUCCUCAAACCCUCUCCUCCUCCAACCCUCUCUCCCACAUCACUUCCUUCUUCCUCCUCUUCCUGCUUCUCUCUCUCCUAUGUCUUUCCGUCCUCUGUUUUCUACAACAUCCCUCCGUCCGCUGAAGAACAGGACCCUGUGACAACACCGACACAGGACAACCUCUCUGUUGAGACCACUGAAAGCAGCAGAAAGCCAGAUUCAAGUCCCAAGCAGCCUCUGUCCAAAUUCAUGACAGUCCUGAGAGACAAAACCAAGAGGAAGAUGAACUAGUGAAGAGAACUAGGUCUUGGUGAUCAAAUAGUAACCCAUGGCUCCUUCUACUAUCCCCUACCUGUACCCUACCUCUAGCCCCUACUUACACCCUACCUCUGUCCCCUGCCUAUACCCUACCUCUUCCCUACCUGUACUCGACCUCUAGGCCCUACCUGUGCCCUACCUCUUCACCCUACCUGCCCUCUACCUCUAGCCCCUACUUGCAACCUACCUCUAUUCCCUACCUGUACCCUACCUCUAUCCCCUACCUGCACCCUACCUCUAUCCCGUACCUGCACCUUACCUCUUUCCCCUACCUGCACCCUACCUCUAUCCCCUACCUGCACCCCACCUCUAUUCCCUACCUGCACCCCACCUCCAGACCCUACCUGCACCACAUCUCUAUCCCUUACCUGCACCCUACCCUACCCUACCUCUAUCCUCUACCUCUACCUGCACCUUACCUCUAUCCCCUACCUGCACCAUACCUCAAACCCCUACCUGCACCCUGCCUCUAUCCUCUACCUGCACCCUACCUCUAUACCCUACCUGCACCCUACCUCUACUCCUACCUGCACCCCACCUCUAUCCCCUACCUGCACCCCACCUCUACCCUCUACCUGCACCCUACCUCUAUCCCCUAUCUGUACCCUACCUCUAUCCCCUACCUGUACACUACCUCUAUCCCCUAUCUGCACGCUACCUCAACCCCCUAUCUGAACCCUACCCUUAUUACCUAGCUCUACCCUACCUCUAGCCCCUACCUGCACCCUACCUCUAGGCCCUACCUGCACCCUACCUCUAGGCCCUACCUGCACCCCACCUCUACCCCCUACCUGCACCCUACCUCUAUUACCUACCUAUUCCCCACCUCCAUCCCUACCUGCACCCUACCUCUAUUACCUACCUACACCCUACCUCUCCCCCUUACCUGUACCCUACCUCUAUCCCCUAUCUGCACCCUACCUCACCCCACUACCUGCACCCCACCUCUAUCCUCUACCUGCACCCUACCUCUAACCCCUACCUGCACCCUACCUCUAUUACCUACCUAUACCCUACCUCUAUCCCCUAUCUGCACCCUACCUCUACUACCUACCUGCACCCCACCUCUAUCCUCUACCUGCACCCUACCUCUAUCCCCUACCUGCACCCUACCUCUAUUACCUACCAAUACCCUACCUCUAUCCCCUAUCUGCACCCUACCUCUACCACCUACCUGCACCCCACCUCUAUCCUCUACCUGCACCCUACCUCCAUCCCCUACCUGCACCCUACCUCUAUUACCUACCUAUACCCUACCUCUAUCCCCUAUCUGCACCCUACCUCUACCACCUACCUGCACCCCACCUCUAACCUCUACCUGCACCCUACCUCUAUCCCCUACCUGCACCCUACCUCUAUUACCUACCUAUACCCUACCUCUAUCCCCUAUCUGCACCCUACCUCUACUACCUACCUGCACCCCACCUCUAUCCUCUACCUGCACCCUACCUCUAUCCCCUACCUGAACCCACCCUCCCUCCUACCUGGGACCCUACCUCUAUCCCCUACCUGUACACUACCUCUAUCCCCUAUCUGCACGCUACCUCAACCCCCUACCUGAACCCUACCCUUAUUACCUAGCUCUACCCUACCUCUAGCCCCUACCUGAACCCUACCUCUAUCCCCUACCUGCACCCUACCUCUAGGCCCUACCUGCACCCUACCUCUAUCCCCUACCUGCACCCCACCUCUCCCCCCUACCUGCACCCUACCUCUAUUACCUACCUAUUCCCCACCUCCAUCCCUACCUGCACCCUACCUCUAUUACCUACCUACACCCUACCUCUAACCUCUACUUGUACCCUACCUUACCCCUACCUCUAUCCCCUACCUGCACCUUACCUCUAUCCCCUAUCUGUACCCUACCUCUCCCCCCUACCUGUACCCUACCUCUAUCCCCUAUCUGCACCCUACCUCACCCCACUACCUGCACCCCACCUCUAUCCUCUACCUGCACCCUACCUCUAACCCCUACCUGCACCCUACCUCUAUUACCUACCUAUACCCUACCUCUAUCCCCUAUCUGCACCCUACCUCUACUACCUACCUGCACCCCACCUCUAUCCUCUACCUGCACCCUACCUCUAUCCCCUACCUGCACCCUACCUCUAUUACCUACCUAUACCCUACCUCUAUCCCCUAUCUGUACCCUACCUCUACCAACUACCUGCACCCCACCUCUAUCCUCUACCUGCACCCUACCUCUAUCCUCUACCUGCACCCUACCUCUAUCCCCUACCUGAACCCACCCUCCCUCCUACCUGGGACUCUACCUCUAUCUCCUACCUGCACUCUACCUCUAUUCCUUACCUGCACCCUACGUCUAGUCCCUACCUGAACCCUACCUCUAACCCCUACCUGCACCCUACCUCUAGGUCCUGCCUGCACCCUACCUCUAUCCCCUACCUGCACCCUACCUCUAUCCCCUACCUUCACCCUACCCUACCUCUACUCCCUACCUGUACCCUACCUCUUUCCCCUACCUGCACCCCACCUCUAGCCUCUACCUGCACCCUACCUCUAUCCCUACCUGCACCCUACCCUACCUCUAUGCCCUACCUGUACCCUACCUCCCUCCUACCUGGGACCCUACCUCUAUCCCCUACCUGUACACUACCUCUAUCCCCUAUCUGCACGCUACCUCAACCCCCUACCUGAACCCUACCCUUAUUACCUAGCUCUACCCUACCUCUAGCCCCUACCUGAACCCUACAUCUAUGCCCUACCUGCACCCUACCUCUAUCCCCUACCUGCACCCUACCCUACCUCUACUCCCUACCUGUACCCUACCUCUAUCCCCUACCUGCACCCCACCUCUAGCCUCUACCUGCACCCUACCUCUAUCCCUACCUGCACCCUACCCUACCUCUAUCCCCUACCUGUACCCUACCUCCAUUCCCUACCUGCACCCCACCUCUAGCCUCUACCUGCACCCUACCUCUAUCCCCUACCUGCACCCUACCUCUAUCCCCUAUCCAUACCCUACCUCUAUCCCCUAUCCGUACCCUACCUCUAACCCCUACCUGCACCCUACCUCUAUCCCCUAUCUGUACCCUACCUCUAUCCUCUACCUGUACCCCACCUCCAGCCCCUACCUGUACCCUACCUCUAUCCCUACCUGCACCCUACCUCUAUCCCCUACCUGCACCCUACCCUACCUCUAUCCCCUACCUGUACCCUACCUCUAUCCCCUACCUGCACCCCACCUAUAUCCUCUACCUGCACCCUACCUCUAUCCCCUAUCUGUACCCUACCUCUAACCCCUACCUGUACCCUACCUCUAUCCCCUAUUUGCACCCUACCUCCAUCCCCUACAUGUACCCUACCGCUAUUACCUACCUAUACCCUACCUCAACCCCUACCUGCACCCUACCUCUAUCCCUACCUGCACUCUACCUCUAUUCCUUACCUGCACCCUACGUCUAGGCCCUACCUGAACCCUACCUCUAACCCCUACCUGCACACUACCUCUAGGUCCUACCUGCACCCUACCUCUAACCCCUACCUGCACCCUACCUCUACCCCCUACCUGCACCCUACCUCUACUCCCUACCUGCACCCUACCCUACCUCCCUCCCCUACCUGCACCCACCCUCCCACCCCUACCUGGCACCCUACCUCUACCCCCUACCUGCACUCUACCUCUAUUCCUUACCUGCACCCUACGUCUAGUCCCUACCUGAACCCUACCUCUAACCCCUACCUGCACCCUACCUCUUGGUCCUGCCUGCACCCUACCUCCCACCCCUACUGCACCCUACCUCUAUCCCUACCUGCACCCUACCCUACCUCUCUCCCCUACCUGUACCCUACCUCUAUCCCCUACCUGCACCCCACCUCUAGCCUCUACCUGCACCCUACCUCUAUCUCCUACCUGCACCCCACCUCUAAUCCCUACCUGCACCCUACCUCUAUUCCCUACCUGCACCCUACCUCUAUUCCCUACCUGCACCCCACCUCUAAUCCCUACCUGCACCCCACCUCUAUCCUCUACCUGCACCCUACCUCUAUCCCCUAUCUGUACCCUACCUCUAUCCCCUAUCUGCAUCCUACCUCCAUCCCCUACCUGUACCCUACCUCUAUUACCUACCUUACCCUACCUCCAUCCCCUACCUGAACCCUACCUCUAACCCCUACCUGCACCCUACCUCUAUGCCCUACCUGCACCCCACCUCUAUCCCCUACCUGCACCCUACCUCUAUCCCCUACCUGAACCCUACCUCUAUCCCCUAUCUGUACCCUACCUCUAUCCCCUACCUCUACCCUACCUCUAUCCUCAAUCUGCACCCUACCUCACUCCCCUACCUGCACCCCACCUCUAAUCUCUACCUUUACCCUACCUCUAUCCCCUACCUGCACCCUACCUCUAUCCCCUAUCUGUACCCUACCUCUAUUCCCUACCUGUACCCCACCUCCAGCCCCUACCUGUACCCUACCUCUAUUUCCUACCUGCACCCUACCUGAAUCCCCUACCUGUACCCUACCUCUAGGUCCUACCUGUACCCUACCUCUAACCCCUACCUGCACCCUACCUCUAGGUCCUACCUGCACCCUACCUCUAUCCCCUACCUGCACCCUACUUCUAUCCCUUACCUGCACCCUACCUCCUUCCCCUACCUGCACCCUACCUCUAUCCCCUACCUGUACUUUACUUCUUUCCCCUAACUGUACCCUACUUAUAAGUCCUAGCCACUACCUCUUUAGUGUUUACUGUUUUAGGUGUGUAAGCAAUAACACUGCAGUUGCACACAGUAAUGAAAUAAGCAGACAUAUCUUUGAUCAAAUGAUUCUCUUGCUAUAUUGAGUGUCUUACCAACACUUUUAAUAACAAAUACAUUAUUUCUCUAACUACGAAUGAGAUUCUGUAAGAUCUGAAUAAAUGGAUUAAUUUAAGCACAAGUAUAUGGUGUUGUAUGGUAAAAUGAUUGAGGGUCAUAAGAAGUGAG